This 3810-nucleotide long non-coding RNA is filed under the name Sus scrofa (pig). Its description in RNAcentral is "lncRNA (multiple genes)". Lineage: Eukaryota; Metazoa; Chordata; Mammalia; Artiodactyla; Suidae. The record is from RNAcentral.
AUGGGCUGUAUAAUCAUGUUUACAUACUGAUUUUGAACUGAGUUAUUUCAUAAUUUACCUAGCUUAUUAUCUUGACCAACAUCCACUUUGUCCAGCUGAUCAAAGGAGAGAAGAAAGCAAGCUACAUCCUAAAUCGUCCUAACCCUGUUCAAAUAAACACUGCUUGGGUAAUCAAGUGUAUCUGGGCACAUCGAGUUUUGUGAUGAAAAAUACCAUUUGUGCUCUCCCCGUGGUGUUCUCCAAUCAGAGCACCCGUCACACAGGCUGCUCUGAGGGAGGCUGAGCUGCCUCAGUGCACUAUUAGCUUCUGACACUGACACCUGGGCAGUAGAAAGGAUGUGAUACUGUUGAUUUUAGUUCAGUUAGGAUUUUAAAAAGGAUGGUGUCCUUGAAUAAGCAUGGAGGCAACAAUAGGGGUGAAUAUCAGAAAGAACAUUAGGCCUAUUCAUCUCUCCUUCUGCUUCCUUCAUGCAGCUCCUACCUUCAGCUUGGAGAUGGUGCAGUGUAGACAUGUUUGGCUAAAGUUGGAAAAAACUUGAGCGACUGUUUAUAUGUCUAAAUGGGCAUAGGGAACGGGCCUGUGGUUGCCAAGAAGGUGGGGGAGGGAUGGAUUGGGAGUUUGGGACUAGCAGAUGCAAAGUAUUAUAUAUAGGAUGGGUAAUCAACAGCCCCUACUGUAUAGCACAAGGAACUAUAUUCAAUAUCCUGUAAUAAACCAUAAUGAAAAAGAAGUUUUAAAUUUAUCUUAGCAAGACCUAAGCUCCCUUUUUAAAGUUUUAUUGAAGUAUAGUUGAUUUACAAGAUUGUGGUAAGUUCUGUUGUACAACAAAGUGAUUCAGUUAUACGUAAACACACAUCCAUUCUCUUUCAUGUUAUUUUCCCAUAUAGAUUAUCACAGAAGAUUGGGUAGAGUUCUCUGUGCUAUUCGGAAGGUUCCCAUUGUCCAAUCAUUCCAUAUACCUUAGUGUGCAUAUGUAAAUCCCAAACCCCAGUCUACUUUCCUCAAAUACCCAGUCCACUUUCCCCAAACCUGCCCCCUUUGGUAACCAUAAGUUUUUAAAAGUCUAUGAGUCUGUUUCUGUUCUGCAACACCUAGACUACAUCACAAGAGCAGGUACUCAUCUAUUCAAUUUGUUACUUUAUCUGCAGUGCCUUACACAUUAAAUGGUACAUGGUAGGGUCUUAGUAAUUAAUUAUUAUUAGAUCAUUAAACAUGCCAACCAUGUUAUUCAGUGAUAAAUGAUCCUUUGCUAGUUGUGAGCAUUGAGUCAAAUAGACCCAGAUUUUAGGCUCAAGAAAGCACUAACAUUAUCUAGUACCAGAUCUCAGAUGCAAAUCUGCAGACAAGCUUCUCUUGCCUUGAGGAAAAAAAAACAUUUUUUUGUCUGGUUUCCCCAGGGUAAAUAGUUGUCCAUAUCUGAAUCUGAAUAAGCCAGUCUGGUCCUUCUUCAAAUAGAAUACUGCUCUUAGGAACCACAAAACAUCAGCCAGUGAGCAAGUGGAUCUGCAUAUGAGAUAGGAAAUUCAGGUAAUGAAUUACAGAGAUGCAUUAAACAAAUCUGCUUUGAUGUGACAUUGGAGUGCUGAAGGCAAUAAGAUGUUGGCCAAACCCAUUUGAUAAAGCACAUGGAAAGGCAAAUCUUUUGGUAUAAGAGCCUGUAUAAAUGUGUAUGUGUGGGCGCGUGCACGCACAUGCACACGUCACUCUUUGAUCAGUUAAUGGAAUCCCAGCUAAAACACAUUUUCAUUCUUAAAUGGCUGUUAGUCAAGUUUUUCACCUUUUGCUUUACAUUCUUUCGCAACAGCCCUUGACUUCAUGGAGUCACUCUCUGUUCUACUUCAAAGAGAGUUGCCUGUUUAUCCCUACUGUGUACAGAAGAAGAAGAAAAAGCUUUUAAAUACAGCAUUGCAGGUUUGCCCAGAAUAGAUAUCAUUGUGUGGAAGAAUAAUUGUGUACAAGAGCAGACCUGCAAAAUCCCAUUCAUUUACCGGGCGAUGUUCUCAGUUAGAGAAAUGCCUCAAGCUCUGUAUCUUUCCAUUGGCAUAAGGGUCAUUCUUGCUCCUAUAAAGAGACGCUUAUCAGGUGACACAUCAAUUUUCGAUUAAUUAGCACUCCCAUUUUUUGGACAAGGAGGGCUUCAUUUUACUACUAUAAAUAUUUUUGAAGGACACAUCCCUAGUUCAUAGGUGACUCAAUGAUGUAAAUAAAAUAUUUUAGUGUAAACUACAUGAAGCCAGCCUCAGACUUGAUAAAACUCAAGAUUUCUUCAAAUUAGCAAUCUCAUUCUUCCCAAGCAUUGUUGCUGUCACUUUAUUUAUAUUUAGAUGAACUAAGUGUAACUUUGGAAUAGGUAACAUGAGUAAAGGACCAGCUUCAGAGUCCUGGCUGUUGAUUGAGGAUGGUGAAGACUAGGGCCUGGUUUCCAAAAACCCUGCUCUCGAGUACAUAGAAUUCAGAUCAAAAGAGAGGCAGAGUGACUUGUCAUUGGGGUUCUGAGGAACCCCCUCUGCUUAUAUAUAUCACUUAGGAAGAAAAAGCAAAUUUGAGUUAUUAUUCAUGGAUUUUUUGGCUCCUCUUAUUCCUACACUGUCAUCUGAAUUUUUGAAUAGUCGUGGUGGUCAGAUAGGGACAGGCAGUGUCAUUUCUACAUGAGACAAUCUGGUGUCUGUCUUGUUUGUUUUACCUGGUAGGUCAAUGCCUCUCUAUUAGCGCCCACACUGCUGUGUGGGGUACAUUGUGUGGCAGCUGGGCACCUACAGGUGAUGGCUUCCAGGUGUUAGCCUCCAGAAAAUGACUGAAAGUCAUUGCAAACGUCAGAGCUCUAGACAUUCAGCUGCAAAAGCCUUGCAGGCAAGGUCAUGGUUUCAGUACUUACAGCAGGAAACUGAAGAGAAACUUUGAAAGCACAGCCCACAUUGUCCCAGAGGGAGAGCUCACAAAAGUUUGCUUCACUGUAGAAAAACAUUUCACAUACAUAAAAUGUCCACUAUUCCCUGAGGCAAGAAAUAGAGUUUAAAGUGUAUGUUUGAAGGAAGACAAAACAAAAACUAUUUCUUGAAUAUUGUCUGCACGUGGCAGGUAAAUUAGUCUUUUCUAAGUGAAGGCCCCUUUGUUUCUUGGCAACCCAGCAUUUAUUCCUUCAUUCUCAGUGAUGAGAAAUUUCCCUCUUCCAAAAUUUAAGCCAUCUGCACUAUUAGCAUCAUAAUCAAUCUUAGCCAAUAAAUCACCCCACCCAAUAUUCUUGACAACACAAAUUCUGUAUUAUGUUCAAACAUUAUAAUAAAUGACAACAUGGUAUGAUCUAUGAGGCGUCUUAGCGUUAUCCACUUCAUCCAGCUGGGAAAAUUAUGGCCUCCAAAAUUUUCAUAAUUUUGAACACUUAUGUUUUCUGAACAGACUUUGAAAAAUGUGCCAAUUUGGUGGGAUUUUAAAACCACUCACCCAUGGAAGACACACUCAGCUUUUCUUGAAAGAAGACAUUGGGAAUCAAAACAUCUUUUUAAUUCUUUCUAUGGUCAAGCAGCCAGAGAGUUAAUAAAAAUCAACAAUCCAAAGCUAGUUAAUAAUGCAAAGUAGUGGAAAAUGAAAUAUUUUAGCAGGGCUUGGCUUAUUUUGUAUAUAGUUCUAUUUCUUGAGGUUAUGUUUUACAAAUGAGAUAGGCUUCCCUUUGCUGUGAGAAUACAUAUAGUGACUUGCAAAUAUUAAGCCAUUAAUAUCCUUGGUUCCCUUAGGGCAGACACUUUAGGAGCAUUCUAUUUCAAAAAUCCAGAAUCAGUGUACUAAGAUUGCCUCCACCACUUACUACAAUG